GGUGUCUAUACUCUAUACUAGCAGGCAUUAAUUGUUGAUGGUAAGCUUUGACUCUCUUAUACUAAUGUUUGACAGUGAGUUUUCAAUUCUCUAAAAGUUGGUGUCUAUAUAUACAUGUCAUUUAAGAGACAAAGAUCUACCCUCUAUAUUCAUUCUCAAACAAAAGUUUUGUAAGUUCAUAGUUAAGAAUUGCAAGAACAAUGAAGAAAUUGGCGGGGUCAACUACCAUACAUGGAAAAAGAAAACACGAUGUUGAAGAUAAAGAUGUUGUAGUCUCUGUUCGAUGCAUGGUAUUGUUUGCUUUGCCGCCCAGAUUGUUUUCGCAAGACGAACACCUGCCGCUACCAGAAUAUGAAGCUGACUGCAAAUCUACACCGCCAAACGCACUACGGGAAAGUUGAGGUUUUUCGCCUCUUCAUUGUCGGUUUCCUCACGACGAAGAACCGCAGUGCCAACGCCGGAAUCUGUGGGUAAUCAGUGAGGAGUUGUGAGUCGGUUACAUCAAAGCUCAGAAGUAAUUGGUUAGUCAAAUGAAUAGACAAAAAAAAAAAAAAAAAAAAAAAAAAAAAAAAAAAGGAGAUCGAGAGAGA
This is a long non-coding RNA of Ipomoea nil (Japanese morning glory), 590 nucleotides long. RefSeq lists it as uncharacterized. The record is from RefSeq and is a predicted model, not a curated record. The transcript is spliced from 2 exons. Lineage: Eukaryota; Viridiplantae; Streptophyta; Magnoliopsida; Solanales; Convolvulaceae.